GCGCCUCUAGCACAACGGUCAGUGCAUCGGCCUUCCAAGCCGAGGAUAAGGGUUCAAUUCCCUUGAGGCGCUCCA
RNAcentral lists this transfer RNA (75 nucleotides) under bacterium. Its description in RNAcentral is "tRNA-Gly". It matches the Rfam family "tRNA". Rfam says of the family: Transfer RNA (tRNA) molecules are approximately 80 nucleotides in length. Their secondary structure includes four short double-helical elements and three loops (D, anti-codon, and T loops). The record is from RNAcentral.